GACGAACGCUGGCGGCGUGCUUAACACAUGCAAGUCGAACGGAAAGGCCCUGCUUUUGUGGGGUGCUCGAGUGGCGAACGGGUGAGUAACACGUGAGUAACCUGCCCUUGACUUUGGGAUAACUUCAGGAAACUGGGGCUAAUACCGGAUAGGAGCUCCUGCUGCAUGGUGGGGGUUGGAAAGUUUCGGCGGUUGGGGAUGGACUCGCGGCUUAUCAGCUUGUUGGUGGGGUAGUGGCUUACCAAGGCUUUGACGGGUAGCCGGCCUGAGAGGGUGACCGGCCACAUUGGGACUGAGAUACGGCCCAGACUCCUACGGGAGGCAGCAGUGGGGAAUAUGGCACAAUGGGCGGAAGCCUGAUGCAGCAACGCCGCGUGCGGGAUGACGGCCUGCGGGUUGUAAACCGCUUUCGCCUGUGACGAAGCGUGAGUGACGGUAAUGGGUAAAGAAGCACCGGCUAACUACGUG
RNAcentral lists this ribosomal RNA (468 nucleotides) under uncultured bacterium. RNAcentral describes it as "partial 16S ribosomal RNA". It matches the Rfam family "Bacterial small subunit ribosomal RNA", at positions 28 to 507 of the family's 1533-position model. The record is from RNAcentral.